Molecule: ribosomal RNA, 253 nt
Filed under: uncultured bacterium
Lineage: Bacteria
Description: partial 16S ribosomal RNA
Rfam family: Bacterial small subunit ribosomal RNA
Source: RNAcentral
UACGAAGGGGGCUAGCGUUGCUCGGAAUCACUGGGCGUAAAGCGCACGUAGGCGGACUCUUAAGUCAGGGGUGAAAUCCCGGAGCUCAACUCCAGAACUGCCUUUGAUACUGGGAGUCUUGAGUUCGGGAGAGGUGAGUGGAACUGCGAGUGUAGAGGUGAAAUUCGUAGAUAUUCGCAAGAACACCAGUGGCGAAGGCGGCUCACUGGCCCGAUACUGACGCUGAGGUGCGAAAGCGUGGGGAGCAAACAGG